Molecule: ribosomal RNA, 236 nt
Filed under: uncultured Actinomycetales bacterium
Lineage: Bacteria; Bacillati; Actinomycetota; Actinomycetes; Actinomycetales
Description: partial 16S ribosomal RNA
Rfam family: Bacterial small subunit ribosomal RNA
Source: RNAcentral
GGCGAACGGGCGAGUAACACGUGAGUAACCUGCCCACAACUUUGGGAUAACGCUAGGAAACUGGUGCUAAUACUGGAUAUGUGCUCCUGCUGCAUGGUGGGGGUUGGAAAGCUCCGGCGGUUGUGGAUGGACUCGCGGCCUAUCAGCUUGUUGGUGGGGUAGUGGCCUACCAAGGCGGCGACGGGUAGCCGGCCUGAGAGGGUGACCGGCCACAUUGGGACUGAGAUACGGCCCAG